Molecule: ribosomal RNA, 678 nt
Filed under: Lodderomyces parapsilosis
Lineage: Eukaryota; Fungi; Ascomycota; Pichiomycetes; Serinales; Debaryomycetaceae
Description: Candida parapsilosis partial large subunit ribosomal RNA
Rfam family: Eukaryotic large subunit ribosomal RNA
Source: RNAcentral
GGCAAAAGCUCAAAUUUGAAAUCUGGCACUUUCAGUUGUCCGUGUUGUAAUUUGAAGAAGGUAUCUUUGGGUCUGGCUCUUGUCUAUGUUUCUUGGAACAGAACGUCACAGAGGGUGAGAAUCCCGUGCGAUGAGAUGUCCCAGACCUAUGUAAAGUUCCUUCGAAGAGUCGAGUUGUUUGGGAAUGCAGCUCUAAGUGGGUGGUAAAUUCCAUCUAAAGCUAAAUAUUGGCGAGAGACCGAUAGCGAACAAGUACAGUGAUGGAAAGAUGAAAAGAACUUUGAAAAGAGAGUGAAAAAGUACGUGAAAUUGUUGAAAGGGAAGGGCUUGAGAUCAGACUUGGUAUUUUGUAUGUUACUCUCUCGGGGGUGGCCUCUACAGUUUACCGGGCCAGCAUCAGUUUGAGCGGUAGGAUAAGUGCAAAGAAAUGUGGCACUGCUUCGGUAGUGUGUUAUAGUCUUUGUCGAUACUGCCAGCUUAGACUGAGGACUGCGGCUUCGGCCUAGGAUGUUGGCAUAAUGAUCUUAAGUCGCCCGUCUUGAAACACGGACCAAGGAGUCUAACGUCUAUGCGAGUGUUUGGGUGUAAAACCCGUACGCGUAAUGAAAGUGAACGUAGGUAGGACCUCCUUUAGGAGUGCACUAUCGACCGAUCCUGAUGUCUUCGGAUGGAUUUGAG